GACGAACGCUGGCGGCGUGCCUAAUACAUGCAAGUAGAACGCUGAAGGAGGAGCUUGCUUCUCUGGAUGAGUUGCGAACGGGUGAGUAACGCGUAGGUAACCUGCCUGGUAGCGGGGGAUAACUAGUGGAAACGAUAGCUAAUACCGCAUAACAGUAGAUAUCGCAUGAUAUCUACUUGAAAGGUGCAAUUGCAUCACUACCAGAUGGACCUGCGUUGUAUUAGCUAGUUGGUGAGGUAACGGCUCACCAAGGCGACGAUACAUAGCCGACCUGAGAGGGUGAUCGGCCACACUGGGACUGAGACACGGCCCAGACUCCUACGGGAGGCAGCAGUAGGGAAUCUUCGGCAAUGGACGGAAGUCUGACCGAGCAACGCCGCGUGAGUGAAGAAGGUUUUCGGAUCGUAAAGCUCUGUUGUAAGAGAAGAACGGGUGUGAGAGUGGAAAGUUCACACUGUGACGGUAUCUUACCAGAAAGGGACGGCUAACUACGUG
Molecule: ribosomal RNA, 495 nt
Filed under: uncultured bacterium
Lineage: Bacteria
Description: partial 16S ribosomal RNA
Rfam family: Bacterial small subunit ribosomal RNA
Source: RNAcentral